CAUAGUUGAUGUCACAGGCCCA
RNAcentral lists this non-coding RNA (22 nucleotides) under Rattus norvegicus (Norway rat). The record is from RNAcentral. Lineage: Eukaryota; Metazoa; Chordata; Mammalia; Rodentia; Muridae.